Molecule: long non-coding RNA, 618 nt
Organism: Cyprinus carpio carpio
Lineage: Eukaryota; Metazoa; Chordata; Actinopteri; Cypriniformes; Cyprinidae
Source: Ensembl
UGAUGAACGCUGCCUCACAGGUGAGGAUGAGGAUGAUGUAGCAGUCACAGGGGCAGGUGAUGAACUUUUCCUCACAGGUGAGGAUGAGGAUGAUGUAGCAGUAACAGGAGCAGGUGAUGAACGUUUCCUCACAGGUGAGGAUGAGGAUGAUGUAGCAGUCACAGGGGCAGGUGAUGAACGUUUCCUCACAGGUGAGGAUGAGGAUGAUGUAGCAGUCACAGGGGCAGGUGAUGAACGUUUCCUCACAGGUGAGGAUGAGGAUGAUGUAGCAGUCACAGGGGCAGGUGAUGAACUUUUCCUCACAGGUGAGGAUGAGGAUGAUGUAGCAGUCACAGGGGCAGGUGAUGAACGUUUCCUCACAGUUGAGGAUGAGGAUGAUGUAGCAGUCACAGGGGCAGGUGAUGAACUUUUCCUCACAGAUGAGGAUGAGGAUGAUGUAGCAGUAACAGGGGCAGGUGAUGAACUUUUCCUCACAGGUGAGGAUGAGGAUGAGGAUGAUGUAGCAGUCACAGGAGCAGGUGAUGAACGCUGCACAGAAGACCAAAGACACAAAAAAAAUACCACAGAUGUAAACAAAAAGUAAAUAUAAAUGCUUGCUUAAUUCAAAGUGCAUUGAUU